Molecule: unclassified non-coding RNA, 219 nt
Filed under: Hevea brasiliensis (rubber tree)
Lineage: Eukaryota; Viridiplantae; Streptophyta; Magnoliopsida; Malpighiales; Euphorbiaceae
Source: RNAcentral
CCCUUACGCAGUCAUUGCCGACUCGUUAUCCCGACGGCUUCUUCGAUGUGAUUAUCGCGACAGAAGUCAUCGAACAUCUGCUCGAUUCCGAAUUGGACGGAAUGCUCACCGAAUGCCGCAGGCUGCUGAAGCCCGGCGGACAGGUUUUUUUCACAACGCCUAACAAUGAGGACUACGACGCUUCUAAAGUCCUUUGCCCCGAAUGCGGCUGUACGUUUC